GGCCAUCAGGGAGUGUGAACGGGAGACUGGUGGAGCAACUCCCUGCAGGGCCUGAAGGAGAGGUACUGGGGUGAGACACCCCAAAUGGGGGUGGACCCCCUGCCCUGUCGGGCAGAGGGAGGGGACCUAGGAGUUAAGGAGGAAUGGAGACAGGUCCCUGCUCGACCUCGCAGAAGAUGCCCCCCAUUACCGCCCCCACCUUCCCAGGUGCGAGUACACAACAGGUUUGAGGCCCUAGAGCUUGAGAGACCAGUGGGUGAAGAUGAGGUAGGAAGUCUACCCAGGAGGAUACCUAGGGCGAGGAGGUUGACUCCACGCCUCAAGACUGCCUCCACAAAGAAAGGCAGAAGGGUAAUUGUUGUAGGCGACUCCCUUCUCGGGGAGACAGAGGGCCCUAUUUGUCGACCUGACCCUACCUGCAGGGAAGUCUGCUGCCUCCCUGGGGCCAGGGUCAGGGAUGUUGCCAGGAAGCUUCCCAACCUGGUUCACCCCUCUGACUACUACCCUCUUUUGAUAGUCCAGGCUGGCAGUGAUAAUAUUGAAGAGAGAAGUCUGAAGGCUAUCAAACGGGACUUUAGGGGACUGGGAUGGUUAGUGGAUGGAGCGGGAGUACAGGUGGUGUUUUCAUCCAUCCCUACAGUGGCAGGGAGGGGUCCAGAGUGGACACGGAAAGCUCACCUGAUUACCACAUGGCUCAGAGGCUGGUGCCAACACAGAAAUUUUGUUUUUUUUGACCAUGGGGUGCUUUACUCGGCACUCGGCCUGAUGGCCGCAGACAGGUCCCUGUCUCUAAGGGGAAAACGGAUCCUAGCCCAGGAGCUGUCAGGGCUCAUUGAGAGGGCUUUAAACUAGGUAAGAAGGCAGAUGGGGCUGAAAUAAGGAUUGUUGGAGCUGUGCCAGGGGGAACAAUGGCAAGGCCGGCGGCGAAGGCAAUGGCCCGACUGAAGUGCAUCUACACUAAUGCACGCAGCAUGGGUAACAAACAAGGUUGGAUGUUAGGAAGAACUUCUUUACUGAAAGGGUUGUUUUGCAUUGGAAUGGGCUGCCCAGGGAGGUGGUUGAGUCACCAUCCCUGGAGGNNNNNNNNNNNNNNNNNNNNNNNNNNNNNNNNNNNNNN
RNAcentral lists this long non-coding RNA (1117 nucleotides) under Anser cygnoides (Swan goose). Its description in RNAcentral is "lncRNA (ENSACDG00005001322.1)". Lineage: Eukaryota; Metazoa; Chordata; Aves; Anseriformes; Anatidae. The record is from RNAcentral.